UCUGUUUCUACGUAGUUGCUGUUGCCAACACAAAGAAGUCUUGUGAACUCAAUCCAAAUAAUUCCACUGCUAUGCUGAGAAAAGGGGGCUGGCGGCAUGGAGUCUUGCUCUGUCACCCAUCCUUGAGUGCAAUGGCACCAUCUUAGUUCACUGCAGCCUUGAAUUCCAGGGCUCGAGCCAUCCUUCUGCCUCUGCCUCCUGAGUAGGUGGGACUACAGGCAUGUGCCACCAUACUGAGCUAAUUUGUUAAACACUUUUUUUGUAGAGACGAGGUCUUGCUACGUUUCCCAGACUGGUCUCUGAACUCCCGGCCUCAAGUGAUCCUACUGCCUUGGCCUCCCAAAGUACUGGCAUAAUAGACAUGAGCCACUGCACCUGGCUCCUAAGUUCUUUUCUUGAGUAAUAUCUUUCUUUUCUUUUUUUUUUUAUUUUUUGAGGUGGAGUCUCACCCUGUUGCCCAGGCUGGAGUGCAAUGGCAUGAUCUCGGCUCACUGCAACUUCUACCUCCCGGGUUCAAGUGAUUCUCCUGCCUCAGCCUGCUGAAUAGCUAGGAUUACAGGCGUGUACUUCCACGCCUGGCUAAUUUUUUGUAUCUUUAGUAGAGAUGGGGUUUCACCAUGUUGGCCAGGCUUGUCUCAAACUCUUGACCUCGUGAUCCACCCGCCUUGGCCUCCCAAAGUGUUGGGAUUACAGGCGUGAGCCACCACGCCUGGCCAAGUAAUAUCUUAGUAUCAUGCCAUUGACAUUUAUCCUCUAAUUAUUUCAGAGGUGGCCUUCAGAAGGAGGCCUCUUUGGUAAAAUUGCUAUUGAGGAUAUUUCACUGAAAAACAAAUUUAUCUUUAAAUUUAAAUCCAGGAAAAAUUUAAACUUU
This 871-nucleotide long non-coding RNA is filed under the name Pan troglodytes (chimpanzee). RNAcentral's name for it is "long non-coding RNA NONPTRT004487". Lineage: Eukaryota; Metazoa; Chordata; Mammalia; Primates; Hominidae. The record is from RNAcentral.